GACGAACGCUGGCGGCGUGCCUAAUACAUGCAAGUCGAGCGAUGAAGAUUGGUGCUUGCACCAAUUUGCAGAGCAGCGAACGGGUGAGUAACGCGUGGGGAAUCUGCCUUUGAGUGGGGGACAACAUUUGGAAACGAAUGCUAAUACCGCAUAACAACUUUAAACAUAAGUUUUAAGUUUGAAAGAUGCAAUUGCAUCACUCAAAGAUGAUCCCGCGUUGUAUUAGCUAGUUGGUGAGGUAAAGGCUCACCAAGGCGAUGAUACAUAGCCGACCUGAGAGGGUGAUCGGCCACAUUGGGACUGAGACACGGCCCAAACUCCUACGGGAGGCAGCAGUAGGGAAUCUUCGGCAAAGGGCGAAAGUCUGACCGAGCAACGCCGGGUGAGUGAAGAAGGGUUUCGGAUCGUAAAACUCUGUUGGUAGAGAAGAACGUUGGUGAGAGUGGAAAGCUCAUCAAGUGACGGUAACUACCCAGAAAGGGACGGCUAACUACGUG
RNAcentral lists this ribosomal RNA (497 nucleotides) under uncultured bacterium. RNAcentral's name for it is "partial 16S ribosomal RNA". It matches the Rfam family "Bacterial small subunit ribosomal RNA", at positions 28 to 507 of the family's 1533-position model. The record is from RNAcentral.